Molecule: ribosomal RNA, 389 nt
Filed under: uncultured bacterium
Lineage: Bacteria
Description: bacterial SSU rRNA
Rfam family: Bacterial small subunit ribosomal RNA
Source: RNAcentral
CCUAACACAUGCAAGUCGAACGGUAACAGGAAGAAGCUUGCUUCUUUGCUGACGAGUGGCGGACGGGUGAGUAAUGUCUGGGAAACUGCCUGAUGGAGGGGGAUAACUACUGGAAACGGUAGCUAAUACCGCAUAACGUCGCAAAACCAAAGAGGGGGACCUUCGGGCCUCUUGCCAUCGGAUGUGCCCAGAUGGGAUUAGCUAGUAGGUGGGGUAACGGCUCACCUAGGCGACGAUCCCUAGCUGGUCUGAGAGGAUGACCAGCCACACUGGAACUGAGACACGGUCCAGACUCCUACGGGAGGCAGCAGUGGGGAAUAUUGCACAAUGGGCGCAAGCCUGAUGCAGCCAUGCCGCGUGUAUGAAGAAGGCCUUCGGGUUGUAAAGUA